This 201-nucleotide ribosomal RNA is filed under the name uncultured bacterium. RNAcentral describes it as "partial 16S ribosomal RNA". It matches the Rfam family "Bacterial small subunit ribosomal RNA", at positions 524 to 724 of the family's 1533-position model. The record is from RNAcentral.
UACAGAGGGUGCGAGCGUUAAUCGGAAUUACUGGGCGUAAAGCGUGCGCAGACGGUCACGUAAGUCGGGUGUGAAAGCCCCGGGCUCAACCUGGGAAUUGCAUUCGAGACUGCGUGGCUAGGGUGCGGAAGAGGGAAGCGGAAUUUCCGGUGUAGCGGUGAAAUGCGUAGAUAUCGGAAGGAACACCAGUGGCGAAAGCGG